CCCCACCCAUCAAUAACUUCUUUAGCCUAGACCACCUUUCUGGGUCAUCAUUCCAAAUGUCAUCCAAAACAAGCAAAUAUUUUUUCCCAUCAAUUUUAUCUCGAAGUUGUUUUUGCAAUUGAUCCAUUUCAAGAUUUUGAUCAGGUGCUUGAUGAGUCACAGAUUUGAUAAUGUUUGCAACAAUAACUUUCACAUCAAAUNNNNNNNNNNNNNNNNNNNNNNNNNNNNNNNNNNNNNNNNNNNNNNNNNNNNNNNNNNNNNNNNNNNNNNNNNNNNNNNNNNNNNNNNNNNNNNNNNNNNUUUUUGACCAUUUCAUGGUUAUAGACAAGUUGGGCCAAAGCAGUCUUCCCUAACCCUCCAAACCCCACAAUUGGAAUGAUAUAAACAUUCUCUUCACUUUGAAACUCCAACACGAGUUUUAGAAGAGCUGCUUUAUCAUCAUCCCUCCCUAUUAUGUCAUCUUCACGCUCAAAAGAGUGCGUUUGCUGCCUCCUUUUAGUCAUGAAAGAGGUUUCCGCGGGGCGAUCACGUGGAAUGAAGCCAAAAGUGUUGGCCCCACUUUCAAUUGAAGCUAAUCUCGCCUUAAUGGCCUUCAUUUUCCGACCCAUUUUGAGACCAUAAGCAAAUUGGUUUGAGGUUGAGAAGAAAAGGCGUACCUCUUUCGUCAGCUUGUUCCCACCCGACAGAUUUUUCCGCAAAGCUUCAGUAGAGAAAUCAUCGAGCAAGUCGUCGGCAUCAUAAAGUACAUGUUUCAGCUCUUCAAGCCAAACUUUGACGAGAUUGUCGGUCACCGAUUUCUCUUCAGCAUCAAGAAGCAAAGCUUUGAUUUGACAGACAGUGCGUCUGAGGUCGUGGAUGUCAUGUUUGAGAUUCCACCACAGCCCAACUUGAGAGAGAGCACGAGAGCUCAACUUAAUAAUGAGCUCUGCGGCAAUGUCGGAAGCAAUUGCUUCGGCCAUUGUUGGUUCGAACUGAAAUCAAGGCAAAAAGUGUUUGAUUCGUGAGAGAGGAGGACUAAAAUGAGAACAAUCCCAGCAAGAUGAAACACAGAUGUGGAUCCAUCCACCCAGCAAGUAGUAUAAUUAAAUAAAAAGUAAUGUUGAUUGGUGGGAAAUGGUCCCUCCAUGUUUACUGUUUGACACAAAUUUCUGAAUGGAGACAAAGUUGAGAUGAUGACACUAGGGGUGCUCUGCACAACGUACAAAUAAUUGAAAUUAAUGAAAAAGCUAUGAAAGAAAAGAGAAAAAGGAGACAAAUCCCAUGGAAUCCAAGGUGUUUUGAUUGACGCCCAUGCAUUCUAGUCUUUCUAAGGAUGGGUUUGGAUGGGCGAUUGGGUGCGGUGCGGUGCGGUGCGUUUAACUUACUUUUGGUGUCACGCUACAGUAUCGCUACAGUAUCUAAUCUCACCACCACCUCUGUUUUUACACUAUCCGCACAUAAACGCACCGCCAAUCCAAACUCAUCCUAAACCUUCUUCCCACUUACUUUUGUGUAAUUGAGUGAGUCUCAAUACUCGGUUCUAACUUAAAUUUAAUAUUUUAUUUUUGAGUUUAACUUCGGUUAAAUAUAUAAAAUUAAAAUUAAAAUUCAUUGGCCACUAGAAUCAAAUAUUAUUAAAUUCGAAUAUGAUUAAAUCAAUAAUUUAAACAUAACUUAUUGACUACUAAAUCAAAUUUAAAUCUUUUUCGAAUCGAAUUUAAUUAUCUUACGAAUAUGAUUAUCAUGUCCUCCUUGUGAAAACUAAAGCAGUUGACAGUGCUAGUACAAUCUGCUUCAAAAAUGACAUUAUCGACUUUAAGAAAUUGAGCAAGCCGAAAACCAUCGAUGAGGGCAUCUAAUUCUGCUUUAAUAGUGAUUUUUUAUUCUCAUUUUAUCGGUAUAUUUACAUUUGAAUUCAAAUACAUAUUCUAUAAUUAACAUUAAUCUCACUGUUACAAUACUUAACCUCACUAAAUUACUUGUUUAACAUAAUUAUGGUGAAUUUAUAGAAAGAACAAUCACGAAGCAAAUGUAGAUGCACUUAUGUUUAAAAUGUUAUUAAUGAAAAUUUUAUUAUUUUAAAAAAUAAAAGUAUAAUAACUUUUUUGGCAUUCUAACUUUAUAAAAGAAUUAUUUUAGCUCUCUAUUUAUUUUCCUUCUUUUUUAGUCUUUCAUUUUACAUUUUUUUGUCAAACCAUCCAAAAUGGGUGAAAAAGUUGACGUUAAUUAACUUUGUUGACAUGACAUAUAGGUAGAUUACCACGUGUAUGUCACUUUAGCAAUUAAUUAUUUAAAAAAUAUUAAAAAAAUAUUUUCUUAUAAAUUUUAAAAUAUUUUUUAAAAUUUUUUAAAAUUUUAAAAAAUAUUUUAUUGCUUAUGUGGCAUAUACGUGGCAAUCCGCGUGUAUGUCACAUCAGUAAAAUCAAUGGACGUUAAUUUUUCACUCAUUUUGAAGUGAUUUGACAAAAUUUACAAGUUUAAGAACUAAAAGAAACGAAAAAUUAAAUGGAGAGUUGAAAUGACUUUUUCUAUAAAGUUGGAGACCAAAAGAAUCAUUAUGGCAAAAAAUAGUUGCCUUUCAUCUCUCUCUCUCUCUCUUUUUUGGUUAUUUUUUAGUGUUAAAAUUCAAGAUGGUAUGGAAUAGUUUUUAAUCUUAUUAUUGUUAUAUAUAUAUAUAUAUAUAUAUAUUUUUUUUUUUCGAUCUCAUUAGAGUUAAUCUCACUGUCAAUAUAAAGAGAGCCUAAAUAUAAUUUGUUCAUCUUCUUUUAAACAUGUUAGUGCUCCUUUGUAUGAUCAUUUACCUCCCGUAAGUAGGAUUGAGUAAAUAAAAUAAUUAAAAAUCGAUUCAAAUCAAGGUGUUUAGACGGUUUACAGAAUACAAAUUAAAAAAUCACAAUUAUCCGAAACUAAAUCAAAUUCUAUUUUUUAUUUAAUUUAUAAAUAAAUUUAUUUUUUAUAAUAUAAAAAUAAAUCUUUUAUAUUUAAAAAUAGUGAAAAUAAAUAUAUUUUAAAAAUAUUAUAUAAAAGUAUUUUAUUAUUUUUAUUUACUUAGAAAAAAUUUAAAAAUAUCUUUGAUAUAAACUUUCAAAAUUUUUCAAAUGAUAUUUAAAAACUGUAAAAAAAAAGUUUAUUUCAUGAAAAUAAUUAUAAAAAUUUAUAAUAAAACUUUGAACUAAACUAAAUUAUAAUGGACGGAUUAAAAAAUAGAAUCGAAUUAAACAAAUAUCACUUGAUUUUAUUGCACCAAACUGGACAUAAAAGAUUUUCUUAAAAAAUUUAACCUGCAAUGAGAUUGUUUUUCUCACUAUAACCUUCUAGAGGUGUUAUAUAAGUACAUACCAUAUGAUAAUUAUAAAUUUAAUUAUUUAAUUGUUAUAAAAAUUAAAUAUAUUACAAAUUAAUAUUUAUAUAAUGAUAUAUUGAAUACAUGUAAAUUUAUUAUCAUAAAUAUAUUUUUAAUUAUUAUUUAAUAUAAAUAAUUUUAUUAUAUUUUAUUAUUUUCAUUUAUAUAAAAUAUAGAAUUUUAAGUUUAUAAUAAUUUCAAAAAAUAUAUAAUUUUCAUAAUCAAAUUUUAUAUGAAUUAAAUCUAAAUAAGUAGAUAUGUAAUAAUCAAUAAAAAAUUAAUAAAAAUAUAUUUAUUAAUAAAUUUAUUAUUUACCAUGAUUGCAAAUUUAGUAUAUAUUAUAUUAUUUAGUGUUAAAUAUAAUCUUUCAUUUUACAAAUAUAAUUUAACAUCCUUAAUAAUCAAUUUAAGGUGAAAACACCUCUCUAGUCCCUUUCAAUUUUGAUAUCAAGCAAAUUGGUCCUUUUAAAAAAUUUAGAACAAUUUUAUCAUUGUUAAUUUUGAAAUUGAGCAACUAAGGAUAAUUAAUCACAACGUUAAUAUUUUUGUCAUCUAUACAUAAUUUUAUAGGUAUAAUAACAACUUUAGCCCUAAAAGUUUACACAUUUUGUCAAUUUAGUUCUAGUUUAACAAAAUCAAAUUGCAACAUUUACACAUUAUGUACGAACUGAAUUUGUUAUUAUACUAAUCAAAAUUAUAUACGAGAGACAAAAAAAUAUUAACAUUAUUGUUAAUUGUCCUUAGUUCACUUUUGAAAUUGAUAGGGAUUAAAUUGCUCCAUUUUUUUAGAGGGGCCAAUUUGCAAAAUAUUGAAUUUAAGAGGGAUUGAAGAGGUGUUUUUAUCCAUUUUUAACCUCACCUCACUACUACAAUUGUUACUGAAUCCAAAUAUAUAUCCAACACUGAUUAUUGUCACAUCACUAACGUAUUCAAUCUCACUAUUACAACAACUAAUUUUACCACCAACGUUAUUUUUAAUUUCUCUAGAAUUCAUCCAAUUAUACAUCCAAAGAAAACCAUAAACUUAUCUAAAUAAUUGUUAUAAAAAUUAAAUAUAUUACAAAUUAAUAUUUAUAUAAUGAAUACAUGUAAAUUUAUUAUCAUAAAUAUAUUAUUCAUUGAAUAUUAUUAUACGUGAUUUUAUAUAUUUAUUUUUUAUUCACUGAAUAAUAUAUUUUUAUUUUAUGUAAUUAAUACAAAUAUAAUAUUAUUCAAAUUGUGGUACAUAAUUAAAAUAGUGUAACAAUAAAAAAUUCAAACAUAAAAGUUUGAAAGUAAAUAAUAAUGAAAUAAAAUUUUUAGUGAUUUUAACUACUAAUUUAAUAAAAAAUUAAAACAUACUAUUCUUAUGUAUAAUUUAUAAUUUAAUAUAAAAUAUAAUUUUAAUUAUUUUUAAUAUAAACAUAGUUUUGAUAUUUUUAAUUAUUAUUUAAAAUAUUUUAUUAUAAUAUAUAAAUUAAUAUAUAUAAUAUAAAAAUCUAUAAAAGAAUUCCAAAUUUCAAUUAUUAUAAUAUAAAUUUUAUAUCUAAAAAUCCUGAAUUAAAUUAAAUUAAUUCAAUUGAAUUGGACAAACAAAUUCGACCGGAAAUCAUUUGAUAUGAUUGGUUGGAUUACCAAUCUAAUUUUAAAAACCUUGACCAGGACAACAUCAAUAUGUGAAUUUGUUUAAUAUUGUUUAUUUAAUAAGUCUAAAUUUUGAGCAUCUAAAAUGUUAAUAAAAUCUUAUUUCUAAUUAUUUUCAUACAUUGAAUAUGUCAUUUCACUUUGUUAGAACUUGUUUAAAAGAACAUUGUAUGCUUCAAUGGAAGUCACAAUUUUACGGAAAAAUUCCGUAAAAAUUUCGUUCGAAAAUUUCGACGUUUGGGCACUCAAUUUAGUCAAAAGGACUAAAUUGUAAAAAGUGCCAAAGUUGAGUUCUACAUGUUAGAAGUGUCUAAUUGUUAUGAGAUUAUAAGUUGGGGGUCCUUAUGUAGUAAUUAGACCAUUAGUUAAUUGAUGGACAAAAAUAGACAUAAGAAAUGGGUGAAAUAUAUUUUUUUAAGUAGGGGCAUUUUAGUCAUUUGGUAAUAAAAAGAAUAAAAUGGGAAAAAGAUGACAAAAAUCAUCAUCUUCUCCAUAAGUUGCUGUCAAAUUUGAAGAGUCACCAUAGCUAGGGUUUCUUCACUUUCUCAAGCUCAUAGUAAGUGCAUCCUAGCCCUGUUUUUAAUGUUCUUCGCAUUUUUGGAAUCCUCGUAGCUCGGUUUAGCUUAUUCUAUCAAUAAUUCAUGUUAGGGUUCAUAUUUGGAAAAAUACCCAUAGGUGAAAUGUGUUUAUUUUUCUGUUUUAUGGUAGAAUAUGAAGCUAGAAAUUAUGUUAAACAACUUUUGCUAAGUGAUUUUAAGCAAAAACGAGUAAAUCGACAUAAUCGGUAAAAAUAUUUAUUGUUCAUAAGUGUAUGUUAGAGUGAGAAUUUGAUGUUGCCAUAUAAGGGAAAAGUGUUCAGCAUGUUGUAAAACAUAAGAAUAAGGUGUGAAAUUUAAUUUUCGAGCUUGGGGACAAAAAUGUAAUUAUGCAAAAGUUUAGGGGCAAAAUCGUAAUUUUAUAAAAGUUGAGUCGAAGCUUGUUUUAAUAAAUGUGAAUAUUAAACAAGCUCAAUUUUCUGUUAUAGAUCAAGAAAGACGAGAAAUCAACCUUAAUCGGGGAAAAGAGAAGAUUGAGGAUUAAAUUGCAAAAUCUUUACAUUUUGUAUCGAGGUAAGUUGUAUGUAAUUAAUAUUGUUAUAAUUGUUUUCGUUAUAUUUUGUGACAAUAUACGUGAAAGGGUUGAUAUUAUAAUGUGUUUUGAAUGAGUUGUAAAUAUAUUUGGAAAGUAAGAAUCUUUGUGGAAAUGUCGUAAUGCUAAAGAUUUGAGUAAGGUAUCGAUGAACACGCGUGUAGUAUUGUGUGAAGGCUACUACGUGUAUCGAUAAGUAAUGUUCACAUGGGUAGUACUAAGUGAAGGCUACUAUGUGUACCAAGAAGCUUUGAGCACGUGUGUAGUACUGUGUGAAUGCUACCACGUGUCUCGGUAAACUACGGUCACAUGUGUAGUACUAAGUGAAGGCUACUAUGUGUACCAAGAAGCUUUGAGCACGUGUGUAGUACUGAGUGAAGGCUACUACGUGAGCCGUAAAACUUGAUCACGUGUGUAGUACUAUGUGAAGGCUACUACGUGAAUUGUAAAACUGAUCACGUGUGUAGUACUAUGUGAAGACUACUACGUGUAUCGAAUGAUAAAAAUAAUAUGAGUAGUACUAUGUGAAAAGCUCCGAAUAUUAUUUUAUAUAUACCGUCAUGAUGAUGAAAUUUGAGUAUGUGAUCGGAAUGUAAUAAGUUGUGAAAAUCGAUUGAAGUGAUGAAAUUUGCGUUGUGUUAUAAAAUAAGUGGUUAUAGUGCUAUGUGAAUAAGGAAUGUUGGAAUAGAACAGAUUUGGACAGUGACAGUGAUGUUAGUUUGAAAAAUCACCAAAAACUAUAAAAAUUGAGUUAGAGGUUGAAUAAUAUAUGAGAUUGAAGCUGAAUGAAUCUAUUUUCAUAUGGAAGAAACAAAGCAAGCAAAGGAGUUGUAUGUUUGGAGAUAUUUAAACUUUAUUGAGACAGGGUUGGAUUGAUUUCGAAAUCCCCUGUUUCAACUUUGGAAAAUCACCAAAAAUUGUAAAAAAAUAAUUAUGGCUUGAAAUUUAUAUUCUUGAAUUCCUUAAUGAGUCUAUUUUUAAUAGAAAGAAACAAGAACAUUGUUUGAAUUUUGUACAAAGAGUUAAAUAAAUUUUAGUGAAGAGAGGUCAGAAGUGUCAAAGAGUGAAACAGGGGAACAUUUAGAGAAUAAACUGUACUAAUUGGCUAAAAAAAAUUCUGAAAAUUUUAUGGUAAGAAUAUAUGUGAGUCUAGUUUCAGAGAAAAUUUACGGAUCUCAAUUCGGAGUUCUGUAUCUCCGGAUAAAAAUAAUUUACCGACUGUGAUGCAGAAAAACAGUUUGUUGGAAGUUGACUAAAUGAUAGAUUUAUGUGUGAUAGAAAUGAUAUAAUAUAUGAUACUAUCUUAGAAAUUUAUUUAUCGAUUACAUACAUACUUACUAAGCUGUAAGCUUACCCCUCUUUAUUUUUCCUUUGUUUUAUAGUGAUAUUAAUCAACUCGGGAAUUGGACGGAGUUAGAACAUCAUCCUCACUAUCAUCAUCAACUUUUGGGUAUUUUGCAAUCAAUACUUUUGAAAAAUGGCAUGUAUAGAUGACUUAAUGCAAUGUAGUUUAAACUUAUAUAUAUAUAUAUAUAUAUAUAUAUAUAUAUAUAUAUGUAUAAAAUAUCGUUUGGUUUAAAAUGUCGGUAUCUAUAAUUGAUGAAUUAUUUCCUUAAAUCUUUUGUUCAUAUAGUUUAGGAUGUUAUGGAUGAAUUAAUCAUGUCAGAACAUAUGAUUGUGUUUGGUUGAAAUAUCGAUGUUGCUUGAGAUUGUGUUUCGAAAAUUUGCAGGAGGAAUUGAAUAUUUAUGAAAAGAAACUAUGUCAAAAUUUUUGUAAAAGAAAAAAAAAAUUUGAUCGCUUGAUAACACUUCUCGCCUUGUUUCGACGAUGAAUACGGGUAAGAGGUGUUGCAAUAAACUUAUCUAAAUAAUUGUUAUAAAAAUUAAAUAUAUUACAAAUUAAUAUUUAUAUAAUGAAUACAUGUAAAUUUAUUAUCAUAAAUAUAUUAUUCAUUGAAUAUUAUUAUACGUGAUUUUAUAUAUUUAUUUUUUAUUCACUGAAUAAUAUAUUUUUAUUUUAUGUAAUUAAUACAAAUAUAAUAUAUUCAAAUUGUGGUACAUAAUUAAAAUAGUGUAACAAUAAAAAAUUCAAACAUAAAAGUUUGAAAGUAAAUAAUAAUGAAAUAAAUUUUUUAGUGAUUUUAACUACUAAUUUAAUAAAAAAAUUAAAACAUACUAUUCUUAUGUAUAAUUUAUAAUUUAAUAUAAAAUAUAAUUUUAAUUAUUUUUAAUAUAAACAUAGUUUUGACAUUUUUAAUUAUUAAUUAAAAUAUUUUAUCAUAAUAUAUAAAUUAAUAUAUAUAAUAUAAAAAUCUAUAAAAGAAUUCCAAAUUUCAAUCAUUAUAUUAUAAAUUUUAUAUCUAAAAAUCCUGAAUUAAAUUAAAUUAAUUCAAUUGAAUUGGACAAACAAACUCGACCCAAAAUCAUUUGAUAUGAUUGGUUGGAUUACCAAUCGAUUUUAAAAACCUUGACCAGGACAACAUCAAUAUGUGAAUUUGUUUAAUAUUAUUUAUUUAAUAAGUCUAAAUUUUGAAGCAUCUAAAAUGUUAAUAAAAUCUUAUUUCUAAUUAUUUUCAUACAUUGAAUAUGUCAUUUCACUUUGUUAGAACUUCUUGAAAAGAAUAUUGUAUGCUUCAAUAGAAAUCACAAUUUAUCUUUGAUCAUGAUUGUUCGCAACUGAGCUACUUAGUAAAUUAAAAAUCAGACCUCGACUAUGUACUGUAAGUGCAUUUUCCUACAAACUUUACCCUAUGAUUCAUUAGCCAAAGGUAUUCAUCCCAUCCCCCAAAGUCAUGAGAUAGAUUUGUAAGCUUUGUUUAUGUUAUAGUUAAGGUGGAUGUGUACGCUAGUGUGUGAGUUCUAAAUUAUAUUGUACAAAAAACAACCAAAAUUAAAUGUGUGUCAACAUCUUAUCUCCAUGCAAAUUUAAGCUAUUGAGCUAAUUUAUUCUUAUAAAAUAUUAAUUUUAUCCAAAAUUUUCUACUUCAAUACAGAAAUUAAUGUACAAAGAAAAUAAAAUUUUAAAAAUAUUAAAAUUAGUGGAAGAUAAAAGAAGACAUUGGAUAUAGGUAUAGCUGUUUUGUAACAACCUAAAAAGGGUCGUAAUUGCUGCAGGGCUCCCGCAUUCUCGUAUCCUCAAUAUUUGAUAAUCGAAUGGAGCUCAGCUAAGCAUUCAACCAAUCAUAAGAUGAAGAUGUGGGAUUCAUUACUCAAUCUAGCAAUGUCUUCAAUUUUGUACAACUCAAUCUUCAAAUUGCUUAAUGGUUCUUGCGUGAAACCCUUCCAUUAAAUGAUAGUAGAUCUACAUAAUGUACUCAAAAUUGCUUGAUAAUUAGUUGUGCUUGUGUUGGAACCUUAUUUGAAACAUCAAAAGAGAAAAAUAUGUUUUGUCUUGAGUGGACACAUAUAUAAAUAAAACUAAAGAACACAACUAAGAUAUUUACGCAGCUUGAAACUUGUCCUACGUUUGCAGCGCCUUGUUCAGAGAUAAAUCCACUAUAUAUUUUCUAGUACAAAGAAAUGAUUUAUGCCCAACUCUCAAACAUUUGGUGUCACCUCACCUUUGUACAAUGAAGUAAACUCUCGCCCAAUUCACUUUAGCUAUACAAUUGAAAAUCAACACUCAAAAGGUGUAUAACAAUGACACUCAAUAAUAAUUCCUCGCUAUGAGCGCAUGUACUCCUUUAAAUCCACACAUCAUCCACUAAACAAAUCAUCUAUAUAUAAGCUCCAAAAUGCACCAAGCUUUACAUAAGCUCCAUGUAAAGUGGAAUAACAAAUUUUCAAAUGCAAUAUCACUGGACCUAUGUAGAAACACUUACUGUUACUAAACGCUACUGUAUAUCAUGUGCAUAAAUGGUGGCUCACAGCAAACCCAUUGUCCAUGCUUUUUCAGUGCGUUCAAAGUUUAUACAUUCUGUCAAUUUAGUUUUGAUUUAAUAAAUUUAGCCUACAAUAUUUACACAUUUUGUCAAUUUGAUUCUAGUUUAACAAAAUUAGAUUGCAACAUUUACACAUUAUGUAUGAGCUCGAUUUGUUAUUAUACCAAUCAAAAUUAUAUACGAGUGAUAAAAAAUAUUAACAUUGUGGUUAAUUGUCCUUAGUUCACUUCCGAAAUCGAUAGGGAUUAACUUACUUAUUUUAUUUUUAGGGGGGCCAAUUUGCAUAAUAAUGAAUUUGAGAGGAACAAAAGGUGUGUUUUUGCCCAUUUUUAUCCUCACCUCACUACUACAAUUGUUAUUGAAUCCAAACACGUAUCCAACAAUAAUUUCAAUCACAUCACUAUGGUAUUCAAGCUCACUAUUACAACAAUUAAUCUCACCACCGCUGUUAUUUUUAAUUUCACUAGAGUUGAUGGAAUUGUCCAUCCAAUGAAAGUCAUAGACCUAUCUAAACACAAAUACAAAGAUAAAAACUUAUUUAGAUAUAAAUUGAAAAAUAAUUUUUAUUAUUUGACACAAUUAAAAUGUAAUUACUUGCUUGAUUGAUACAUUUGCUCAAAGGUAAUGUAGCCCCUUCCAUUUUAUUAUUUGCUUAAUUUUUUUUGUAUGUGAUAUUUUGAUCUGUUCAUAAAUGGAAUGUUUCAUGGUGGCUAAGUUUCUUAGGGGAUAAAUUAUGAGUAGCAUUAUUUGUUUGUGCAGUGAAAUUGUGAUGUCUAUAUUUUAAUCUAUUUCUGUAUUUGAUGAUGUAGUGGAGUUUUAAUAUAAUUGUAAUUGAUGGUUUGUUAGUUUUAUGUACCAUAAAUGCUAUAGUAAGAGAGUUUAAAGCCGAACAUUUAAUGUCGUGCUCUAUAUGAAGAAAGGUUGAUGAGUGUUAGUUCUUUUGAUGUUUUGCCUUUGAUGGAUGUUUGAAAAAUGAUUCAGUUGAUAUCCAUAAUGUCUACCACUAUAGUUUCCCCCUUAUGUAGAAUAUGACUGCUAGUAUGUCAGGCAAUAUUAUGUUCGUAUAUUAUGUUCUUUUUCUUAUUGUCUUCAACACGAUAACAAGUGAAUUACUAGUUACUUUACUUGAUUUUGUCAUGCCAUUUUUCUCUUUGAGUUUUGGCCUUUCUGAAUUAACUUUUGAAUCACGUAGUGAAGCAUUUCUGAUGGUUCUUAUGACUAACAGUAAGUUCUCUUAUACAAGCUCCCCUACAUAUGCAUUUCUUAAACUUAUGCUCUUUUCUUCAUUUCAGUUGGUUGUUAAUCUUGAUAUAACCAUGCACAAAUACUAAUACUAAGGGACCUUGUAAUUUUGCCUGCCAUUGGAACUACUCUGAAAUAUUGCUGAUUUUUCUCAGCAAUUAAAGAGGAAGAGCGCAGCAGACAAAAAUGAAGUUUUGUCUAGCCAACAUAAUACAAGAUGUGCUAUUCAACUUGUAGUUUGAUGUGUGCCAACAUAAGCAUCAACACACAAGUCAUACGUAUAUACAGCCAGGAAACCAACAUCUUUUGGAAGAGUCCUAAUCCAAGCAUCAUAAUUGAACAUAGUCUUGGAAUACUGUCUAAAAAAAUGGUUGUCUCAUAAUCAAUUGUGCAUCCCUGCAUUUGAAUGCUGUUUCAAACACUAAAAAAACAUAAAUGUGUUUUUUUCUGAGUUGACACUUAUUAUGCAACAAGGAAAACAAAGAGCACAAUUAAGAUGUUUACACAGUUCAAAACUAGUCCUACAUCUGCGGGGCCUUACCCAAAGAUGAAAACACUAUGAACUUCAUAGUACAAAGAAAUGAUUUAAGCCUAACCUCUCUAACACUUGAUGCAAUCUCAACUUCAACCUCACCACCAAAUAUUCCGAAGCAUCUUCCUUUUUUUCCUGUUUGGACCUUCAAUAACAAAUUUGGCUGGAACUCCAAACAGCUAAAAGAGUGCCCUGCAUCAAUAAAUAUUAUGAAUUUGAAUACCUCCAAAAGCCAGUUACCAUCUAAGAUAGUAAUCAGUUGGCAUAUAUUAAGAGAAAACAUAAAUACAUAUAAAGAUAUGAUAUGUAAGUACUUAAAUGAAGAAAGCAGAGCAUAUAGUACAACCAUUUUGCAGGCUUCAUAGGCCUCUCUCUCCACAUCAAUGAUUUUUUAGAAUUAAAUUAUUAGAAGCAAUCGUCAAGUUAUUAUUAUGAUUUAAAAGUAAAAAGAAAGUAGAUAAAUUAGCACCUCUUUUUAUGCAUAUAAAAUGAUUGAAGUUCACUAAUGCCUUUCUCCAAUGCCUUACUGCACAAAUCAGCAAAAAAUAUUAUGAAAGAUGAUAAGUAAAAAGUAGGAUGAAAACAAAGGGAUUUUAACAAGGAAAUUAACAGUAUCCAACUUCAAUGAAAAAUGGCAUCAGACCCCUGACUUGGAGAUUCAAUAUACCACUCUUAUUUUUCUUCAAAAAAAGAUAAGGUCAUCAUAAUAAAUAAAUAACAAAGACAGACCAACCUGAUACAUCCGAAUGUUGGGGAUGUGAGCAAUCUUUUGCCAAUCAGCGCCAAUGUCCUUCCGAUAUCUUUCCUCCAACUGAGGAAUUUCUCGUAUUUGUAAAUACUCCAAACCGGUUAGGCAACGCAUCUCGUCCGGAAGAGAUGUUAAAUUGGGCAAAUUGACGAGAUAAAGCUCUUGCAGAUUUGUUAGAUGUUGAAGCCACUCCGGUAGAUGCCGACACUUUGGAAUAUUUAGCAGCCGUAGAGAGCGUAGACUUGUAUGAUCUUGGAAUAUUUGGAUGCCAGCUCCAGAUAACUCCAGCUCCUUGCAGUCCUUUACUUCAAACUCUUCAAGGAAAGUGAGAUGUUGGAACACAGGAAAGAGUGACCUCAAUCCAUGGCAUUCACGAAUUUCUAAUGUUUUCAAUUGAACAAGAUGUUGAAGAGAAAUGAGGAGAGACACCAGCUUUGGAAUAUUAUCAAUCUUCAAUUGAGAGAGAUUCUUAAGGGGUUCCCAUUGCAUGCCCUCUAAAUCAACCUCCUUGCAAUCUCUUAUUGUUAAUCUUUUGAGGCUGGUGAGAUGUUCAAACACAGGAAGCAGUGACCUCAAUCGAUUGCAGUUCUGAAUUUUUAAUGUUUCCAAUUGAACAAGAUGUUGAAGAGAAAUGGGGAGAGACACCAGCUUUGGAAUAUUAUCAAUCUUCAAAUGAGAGAGAUUCUUAAGUGGUUCCCAUUGCAUGCCCUCUAAAUCAACCUCCUUGCAAUCUCUUAUUGUUAAUCUUUUGAGGCUGGUGAGAUGUUGCAGGCACUCAUCUAGCAUGUGAGUGUCCAACCCCUCAAUGUUGUGUACAUGGAAAGAUUUCAAUUUGGAGAGUGGAAGAGAAGAGGUUGAAGUUGAUGGGGCCUUAGCGUUGAUGUUCAUCUUGAUAGUCUGCUUUAACGACCUUGAACUGGUAUUCGACAACAUUAGAUCUUCAUCGAGUGAUGGAUACAGUGGCAUCAAAGUCAAAGGGCAAUUUACAAUCCAUAAAGAGGAAAGACAAGGAAAUGCCAUGGUUGAUGUUCCCAUAACUGUUGUGUCGUCCUCGUUGGAAUCAUCAUCGAUUGGUUUUGUUGUCCUCCACCAACUCUUCAUAUUUGGGCAAUUCUCGAGGUGAAGACGCUUAAGCGAUGGGAAGAAUGAGUUAAUCUCACCACCAACAUUAUUUUUAAUUUUACUAGAAUUGAUCCAAUUAUACAUCCAAAGAAAACCAUAAACUUAUCUAAAUACAAAUAAAACUAUUAAAAAAACUUAUUUAGACAUAAAUUGAAAAAUAAAUUUUAUUAUUUCACACAGUAAAAAUAUAAUUACUUGCUUGAUUUAACCCAUUCAAUUUGGUCAGAUUGAAGGUUAUUCCUUGAUAAGAUAUUAUUAUUAUUAUUUGCUUUGGGCAAACUUAAUACAACUUGAUUUACUCUUUAUUAAUUAAAAGCAUUUUAUUUAUAUUUAAUUAUAAAAAUGUGUAUAUAUUAUUAAAAUAUUAUUUUUUAAUAUUAAAUGAAUAGUGAAAUAAGGUCAACUUAUAAGGGUUAAAGUAUUUAGGAAGUCCCUAUAUUAUAAACUGUAUCAAGUUAGUCUCUCAAUUUAAAAAGAAUCAAAUUAUAUCAAAUUGUAACAGAAUUAACAUUUACUGUAACAAAUUUAACAUUAACAGAGUUAACAAUUUUCAAUACAUUUUUUAUGCAAUAAAUGUUAACUUUGUUGUAAUUUGGUUUUAUUUGAUUCUUUUUAAUAGUAUAGAGACUAAAUUGACCAUUUAAUAAUAAAGGGACUAAUUUGAUGUAGUCCCUAUAAUAGAGGUACUUUCACCCUUAUAUAUGUGCUUGAAUCUUAUUUUGGAUGAAAUUGAACAAUUGAAAAAGGUAAAAAUAAAUGAAAUUAGCACAUUAAAUUGUAAUUAUAUACAAAAGAUUCUUAGGUAUGAGUAGGAAAAUGGAUGCCAAACAUAUCGUAAGAUAAGAUGAAGCUUCAAUUUUGGUUUGCUGACAAUCUUCUUUUUUGGAAGUCAUAUCAAUUACGACUGUUUGAAUUUUUAACAUCUAGCGAUGAUUGUCAAAAUAUUAUACUAACAAAUUAGCCAUAAUCACUUAUUUAGCUCUCCAACUUUACAAUAAAAAUCAUUUUAGCUCUUCAAUUAAAUUUUUGUCUCUUUUAGUCCUUAACCUUGCAUUAAUGUUUAUCUAUUUUAGAGUGAUCUGAUAAAUAAUGCAAGUUUAAGGACUAAAUCGAUUUUUCAUAAAGUUAAAUAUAAUAGAGAAUUUAAAAACAAAUGAAAAUAUUUAUAUUUUAUUUUAUAUUUGUUUAAGUUCGGCCUGGUCCAAAAUAUAAACUUAAAAAAUCUGUUCAAAUUUGUAAACAGCUAACUCAAACUCAUUUUAAAUCCACUCGUUCUAUUUUUAAAAAAAAUUAAAAUGUAUUUAUAUUAUUUUUAACUUAAUAUUUAAUAAUUUUAUAUUUUUAUUAAAAUUUUAUAUAGUCAUCUUAAUAUUAAUAAUUUUAUUUUUAAUAGUUUUAUUAAAAUUAAAACCUUGACCAGGACAACAUCAGUAUGUGAAUUUAGUUUCGUAUUUAUUUAAUUUGGUUAGCACAUAUUAAUAGUUUUCAUAGUCUCUUUAGUUUUUGUUUUUUUGGGAUUGUGUAGAAUUUAAAAUUUUAGAUAUUUUUAUGUUCAUAUUUUCUUUUAUAAAUAUAUAUUGUAAGCUCUCACUAAUUUUUUCAAGCUUUUAGGAGUUCCUUCUAUUGAAGCAAUAUCAUGAUCAAAUCUAUAAUCAGUAUAUAUGAGAAAGAAAAAAAAAUAUAAAAUAAAAUAAAUUAAAAAUUAAAAAUAGACUUGGACACUUAUGGAUGUUAAAUUUAUAAUAAGUUCAAGUAAAAUGGCUAAAAUAAUCAAACUACCGUCUAACUCAUGCUAUGAAAACAUAUAAUCACAGUUAAAAAAAUAUUGUAUAUUUUGAUGAAAGUCACAAUUUAUCUUUGGUCAUGCUUGUUCGCAACUAAACCGCUAUAAUGUAACUACAUGUUCUUACAAAUCUCGCGCUAGUCGACUUUGCCCUAUGAUCCAUUAGUCAAGGGUAUUUAUCCGAUUGAUUUGUCAGUUUUACCUUUUUUAUACUUUAAGUAAAUGUGUACGAAGUGUGUGAGUUCCAAGUUAUACUGUAACAAAAAUUGAAAAUAACUGACAAGACCAAAAUGAAACAAUUAAUACCCAAAAUUUUCUUCUUCAAUAUAGAAACUAAUGCACAACGAAAAUAAAGUUAGUAAAUUAGUAGGAGAUAAAAGAAGGGUAUAGAUGUUUUGUAAGAAGCUAAAAAGGGUUGUAAUUGUUGCAGGGCAUCCAUAUUGUCAUAUCCUCAACACUUGGUAAUUGAAUGGAGCUAAGCUAAGCAUUCAUUACUCUUGGAAUUGCUCAAUGGGUGUUCCGUGAAGCCCUUUCAUUAAAUCAUAGUCCACAUAAUGUACACAAUAUGGCUUGAUGGAGGGGCGAGAUACAACUAAAAUAUAUGUCAGGGGAUAAAGCUAAAUAAUUUAAGAAUUUUAUUUAACAAUUAAUGAAUCAAACGAUAUCAUAUUAUUAUAUGUUUAAUGAAUAAAUAAUUUUAUUGUUUUAAUAAAGUGAUAUUAUUGUGUGUAUAAUACAAUUAUAUGAUACAUCAAAUAUAAAAAUCCAUUAAUUUAAUAUCUUAAAAGUGUGCAUUUUGUUUAAUCUAAUGUGUUAAAAAAAGAAGAAGAAAUAAUCCUCUUAAAUUUUAUAAUCUCGUCGUGUUUUUAAUAUGUUAGAAUCAAGUUACCAAUAUGAUGAGUACACAAGUAUUUACAAUUUAAUCCAUGUCAAAUGAGAACAAAAAUUUAAAACUUAAAUUGACAGCUACAAAAAUGAAAUAAUUUUAUUGAUAUAAUAUUAAUACUUUCAAAUUUUAAUUAAAAUAUUUUAGAAUUUAUAAAUUAAUUUUAAAAAAAUUAAUUAAUAAAUUGAGAAUAUUUAAUACAAAUAACUUCGUAUAUGAAUAUAAAUAGUUAUAACACAUUUAUUAAUAAAUGAAAAUAAUGUUGUUUGGAGUUUUCUAUUUUUUCAUUAGCCAACUGAUGAUAAAAAUGAUAAAAUUGAAUCGUUGGGAGACUAUUUUGUAACUUUUCAUAAUUGAGUGACCAAAAUAGAAAAGGAAAACUUAGUCGGGUGACUACUAAAGUAGGUUACCCUUUUUUAGGUUAAAAUAUGCCAUAUGUCCUUGUACUCACCAUAAAUUUGAAAUUUAGUCUCUAUACUUGUAUUUAUAGGAAUUUAAUUCUUUUACUUUUCAGAGUUCAAAUUUUAGGUCCAAUUGUUAAUACUGUUAAUUUUUUUUGUUGAAUUUGUUAGUGUGACAGUUUGAAAUAAAAAAAAAACUUACUUGGUAGCCAUGUAACUAAGAAUAUGACAUUUUAAUGAACCUGAAUUUAAUAAAAUAAUUUUAACAGUAUUAACAGUUGGACUUGAAUUUUAAAAUUUAAAAAGUAUAGGGACUAAAUUCUUUAAAAUAAAAAUAUACAAACUAAAUUCUAAACUUACAAAAAAAAAAAUAUAUAUAUAUAUAUAUAUAUAUAUAUAUAUAUAGGACUUGGGGGAUUUUAAUUUUGUUAUGGUAAAUAAGGGGAAAUAGAGAAAAAAAAAAGGCAAUUAAUAUGUGAACAAAAUCUACAUGUUUGCAAUUUCUAGAUAAUUUUGUGAUUAAUAGAAAUUAUUUUUCGAUUCAUUAAGGUUAAAUUUUUUUCAGAAUUUUUAUAGCAGAAUUUAAACCUUAUUUCUUCAAUUCUUGCAUCUUCGAUUAAGGUCCACUUAGCAAUACAAUUUUAGAGAUUAAAAAAGUUACAUUUCCAUAUAAUGUUUCUUGAGAAAUUUUUUUUCUUUUUCAAAGUUUCAUUAAUAUACAUGCAUUGUACGUGAUUUAUUUAUUUAUUUUUAUUCACUAAAUAAUAUAUUUUUAUUUUAUGUAAUUAAUGCAAAAUAAUAUUAUUCAAAUUGUGGUACAUAAUUAAAAUAGUGCAACAAUAACAAAUUCAAACAUAAAAGUUUGAAAGUAAAUAAUAAUGAAAUAAAUUUUUUAGUUAUUUUAACUACUAAUUUAAUAAAAAAAUUUAAAACAUACAAUUCUUCUGUAUAUUUUAUAAUUUUAUAAUUUUAAUUUUUUUAAUAUAAACAUAGUUUUGAUAUUUUUAAUUAUUAUUUAAAAUUUUUUAUUUUAAAUAUAUUCUUAAUUAUUUAUUUUACACAUACAUACAUUUUAACUUAAUGUUCUUAAUAGUAAUUUUCUAUUUUUAUUCCAUUGCUACAUUUGCAUUUGAAUUUAAAUACAUAUUUCACAAUUAACAUUAAUCUCACCGCUACAAUAUUCAAACUCACUAAAUUACUUAUUUAACACUAUUAUAAAAAUAUAUAUAAAUAUUACUAAAUUAUCAAUUUUUAAUAUUAAAAGAACAAUGAAAUAGGGUCAGCGUGAAGAAAACUUAAAAAAAAAAUUGUACCCUAACCAAAUUAUAGACAAGGCUAUUGAUUAAUUUUUAAAAAAUAAUAUUUUAGCUUAUAUAAGAGUUAAAAUAUUUGGAAAGUUUAAAAUUAGUCUCUCUAUUAUUAAAUGGACCAAUUUUAUCACAGUACUAUUAAAAAGAACUAAAUAAGGUUAAAUUGUAACAGAUUUAACAUUAAUAGAAUUAACAAAUUUCAAUAUAUUUUUUAUAAAAUAAAUGUUGACUUUGUUAUAAUUUAACUUUAUUUGAUCAAUUUUAACAGUACAGGUAAUGGAUCAAUUAACCAUUUAAUGAUAGAGGGACUAAUUUGUAUGCAGUCCCUAUAGUACCGGUACUUUAACCCUUAUAUAUAUGUUUGAAGUUUAUUUUAGGAUGAAAUUGGAAAAUUGAAAAAAGUAAGAGUUCAAAAAGUAAAAACAAAUGAAAUUAGCACAUUAACUUACAAAAUAUAUUUUUUAUAAAAUAAAUGUGUUUGGAACAUUAAAAAUGUGUUUUUUUUCCUGAGUUGGUACAUAUUAUUUCAAUUUUGAUGAGAAUUGUACUCUCACUUAACGCUUCAUGUCAUUCGCUUUUUCUUUUCUUUCCCUUUUUUUUUUUUUUUGUUGUGUGAUCUUUUGAUCUGUUCAUAGACAGAACUUUUCAUGGUGGCUAAGUUUCUUACGGGAUAAAUUAUGAGUAGCAUUAUUUGUUUCUGCAUUGAAAUUGUGAUGUCUGUAUUUUAAUGUGUGAGGUAUUUCCGUUUGUGAUGAUGUAUUUGAUGAUAUAGUGGAAUUUUGGUAGAUUAAAGUGCUCGUUUGCUGUACUAAGUUGAAAUUGAAUGAAUGCUGGCCUCAUCCAAUGUCCAAAACUUGAUGACUUCAACAUUUUGAUGCCUUAAUUUGAGAAGACUAAGUUAGAGUACUAUAAAACUUUCUAAGAAUGCUGAUGAGGCAUAGAUCUAGUGAUAUAAUAUAAUUGCAAUUGAUAGUAUGGGGAAACCUAAGUUUUAGUACCAUCAAAUAAAAUUGCUAUUGCUAGUAUGUUUGUUUUAUGUAAUAUAAAGCCAUAGUAAGAGAGGAAGGCUAUGUUAUGCUAUUCCAUUCUCGGUUUAAAGCUGAACAUUUAAUGCCGUGCUCUAUAUGAAGAAAGCUUGAUGGGUGUUAGUUCUUUUGAUGUUUUGUCUUUGAUGGAUGUUUGAAAAAUGAUUCAGUUGAUAUCCAUAAUAUCUAUCACUAUAGUUUCCCCCUUAUGUAUAAUACGACUGCUCUGCUAGUUUAUCGGACAAAAUUAUAUUCGUAUAUUAUGUUCUUUUUCUUUAUUGUCUUCAACGCGAUAACAAGUGAAUUACCAGUUACUUUACUUGAUUUUGUCAUGCCAUUUAUCUCUUUGAGUUUUGGCCUUUGUGAAUUAACUUUUGAAUCAAGUAGCGAAGCAUUUCUGAUGGUUCUUAUGGCUAACAGUAAGUUUUCUUGUACAAGCUCUCGUACAUAUGCAUUUGUUAAACUUAUGCUCUUUUUCAUUUUAUUUUCUUCAAUUCAAUUGGUUGUUAACGUAGAUAUAACCCUGCACAAAUACUAAGGGACCUUGUAAUUUUGCCUGCCAUUGGCAGUACUUUGAAAUAUUGCUGAUUUUUCUCAGUAAUUAAAAAGGAAGAGCGCAGCAGACAAAAAUGAUAUUGAGUCUAGCCAAUGGACAAGCAGUCCGGGGGUUACCAGCAUAUCCAACAGUCCUUUCCAGACACAUGUAUAUGCUAAAGGAGGAAGGAUAUAUAAUAGAUCAAAGACAUCAAAAGCCAAUAAAUCAAUGCCUCACACACCUGUGUCAAAUGCUGGUGCAAUACUAUUUCCCACUGGCUUAGUCCAUAGAAGGAAACUUAUGAUUCACUCCACGGCUCUAUCAUCAGUACCUCAUUGCUCGAAUUAAGAGAGAUGGAUUUUGUAGAAGAGGAAUCACUGACAUUAUAUAUGAUAAUUGGCAGGUUGUCCAUCUCCUCUUACACCUGCUGGCAGCUGCUGUUUAGAUAGUCCUUUAGGUAAUCUUUACUGCUCAUUCUUUUUUCUUUUAACAUAGUCUGUUUUAGCUCCUUAACCUGCUAUGGAUGGUGAGAACGACAAUAAUGCAGUCACCAUUUUUGGGUCUGUUGACGAAAAAGUUUGUCAAUCUGAUGAAGCAUGCUGAAGAUGGUAUCCUUGACCUAAAUAAGGCUGCAGAAACAUUGGAGGUAAUGACAUACUAGUGAGCUUAUGGAUCAUUGGGGGUUUGUUGAGUAUUUUUUCAUGUUACUUAUAGGGUUCUUUUGUCUUUUAUUUUUCCCUGUAAAUGUUGUAACAGGUGAAGAAGAGGAGGAUAUAUGAUAUAACAAAUGUCUUGGAGGGCAUUGGUCUUAUCGAAAAGAAGUUCAAAAACAGAAUACAGUGGAAGUAAUUACUGAUGAUGUUAAUCAUUUUUCAAGAAUUUGAUGUCUUAAUUUGGUUUGUCAUUCUGGUUAACCUUUGAAAAAUGUGAGACUUAUUUGAGGAUUAAUCAAAUUUACUAGGGGUGUUGGUGCUUCAAAGCCAGGAGAAACAGAUGGCGACGUCUCUGUAAUACAGGUACGUGAAAGUAAUGUCAAUUUUCAUUUCAUUGACAUCCAGCCAACAAAUUUUCUUGAUAUGGUUCACUAGGAUGUUUUCUGUUUCUUUAUUUUUGGUAAUGACUUUCAAGAGAAUUUUCAGUUACUCCUGAUUGAUUGAUUUGUGUUGCUUAUUUCUCAUACCUAUGAGCUUAAUUUCUAUUCUUUAAUGCAGGAGGAAAUUGAGAACCUUUCCAUGGAAGAGAGGAAAUCGACAUCUUUUGGAAGGGUCCUAAUCCAAGCAUUAUAAUUGAACAUAGCCUUGGAAUACUGUCUAAAAAUAUUGUCGUCUCAUAAUCAAUUGUGCAUCCCUUCAUUUGAACACUGUUUGGAACCUUAAAAAAACAUAAAUGUGUUUUUUCUUGAGUUGGCACGUAUUAUGCAAUAAGAAAAAUAAAGAACACAAUUAAGAUGUUUACGCAGUUUGGAACUCAUCCUACGUCUGCGGGGCUUUGCCCAAAGAUGAAUCCACUAUGAACUUCAUAGUACAAAGAAAUGAUUUAAGCUUAAACCCUCAAACACUUGAUGCAAUCACACUUUUGUACAAUUAAGUAAAUUCUCUCCCAACUCAUUUUAGCUAUGCAAGUGAAAAUUCACAUUCAACACUCAGAUGGUUUUCCUACUAUGAAUCAAGCUCUUAAUAAGCUCCAUGUAAAGUGGAAUCAUAAAUUUUCAAAUGCAAUAUGUUUGGCAAUAGACCUGUCCAUGGGCCGGGCGGCCUGGCCCGGCCUGACGGCCCGCCCGAAAUAUGGGAGAUAGAAUGUGUUACAAAUCCCAUUAUUAUCAGCCUUAUAUUUGCACAUAUGUGUGUUUAGUAUAAUGCUGUUGAUAUAUACAUAAUGAAAUAUUUUAUCAACUUCAACCUCACCACCAAAUAUUCUGAAGCAUCUUCCGUUUUUUCCUGUUUGGACCUUCAAUAACAAAUUUGGCUGGAAUUCCAAACAGCUAAAAGACUGCCCUGCAUCAAUGAAUAUUAUGAAUUUGAAUACCUCCAAAAGCCUGUCAAUAUCACAGGUACCAUCUAAGAUAGUAAUCAGUUGGCAUAUAUUAAGAGAAAUCAUAAAUAUAUAUAAAGAUAUGAUAGGUAAGUGCUUAAAUGAAGAAAGCAGAGCAUAUAGUACAACCAUUUUGAAGGCUUCAUAGGCCUCUCUCUCCACAUCAAUGAUUUUUUAAAAUUAAAUUAUUAGAAGCAUUUGUCAAGUUAUUAUUAUGAUUUAAAAGUAAACAGCAAAUAGAUAAAUUAGCACCUCUUUUUAUGCAUAUAAAAUGAUUGAAGUUGACUAAUGCCUUUCUCCAAUGCCUUACUGCACAAAUCACCAAAAAUAUUAUGAAAGAUGAUAAGCAAAACGUAGGAUUAAAACAAAGGGAUUUUAACAAGGAAAUUAACAGUAUCCAACUUCAAUGAAAAAUGGCAUCAGACCCCUGACUUGGAGAUUCAAUAUACCACUCUUAUUUUUCUUCAAAAAAAGAUAAGGUCAUCAUAAUAAAUAAAUAACAAAGACAGACCAACCUGAUACAACCCAAUGUUGGGGAUGUGAGCAAUCUUUUUCCAAUCAGCGCCAAUGUCCUUCCGACAUCUUUCCUCCAACUGAGGAAUUUCUCGUAUGUGUAAAUACUCCAAACUGGUUAGGCAACGCAUCUCGUCUGGAAGAGAUGUUAAAUUGGGCAAAUUAACGAGAUAAAGCCCUUGCAGAUUUGUUAGAUGUUGAAGCCACUCCGGCAGAUGCCGACACUUUGGAAUAUUUUGCAGCGAUAGAGAGCGUAGGCUUGUAUGAUCUUGGAAUAUUUGGAUGCCAGCUCCAGAUAACUCCAGCUCCUUGCAGUCCUCUACUUCAAACUCUUCAAGGAAAGUGAGAUGUUGGAACACAGGAAACAGUGACCUCAAUCCAUUGCAGUUACGAAUUUUUAAUGUUUUCAAUUGAACAAGAUGUUGAAGCCACUCCGGAAGAUGCCGACACUUUGGAAUAUUUUGCAGCCAUAGAGAGCGUAGGUUUGUAUGAUCUUGGAAUAUUUGGAUGCCAGCUCCAGAUAACUCCAGCUCCUUGCAGUCCUUUACUUCAAACUCUUCAAGGAAAGUGAGAUGUUGGAACACAGGAAGCAGUGACCUCAAUCCAUUGCAGUUAUGAAUUUUUAAUGUUUUCAAUUGAACAAGAUGUUGAAGCCAAAUGGGGAGAGACACCAGCUUUGGAAUAUUAUCAAUCUCCAAAUGAGAGAGAUUCUUAAGGGGUUCCCAUUGCAUGCCCUCUAAAUCAACCUCCUUGCAAUCUCCUAUUGUUAAUCUUUUGAGGCUGGUGAGAUAUUGCAGGCACUCAUCUAGCGUGUGAGUGUCCAACCCCUCAAUGUUGUGUACAUCGAAAGAUUUCAAUUUGGAGAGAGGAAGAGAAGAGGUUGAAGUUGAUGGGGUCGUACUAGUGAUGUUCAUCUUCAUGGUCUGCUUUAACGGCCUUGAACUGGUAUUCGACAACAUUAGAUCUUCAUCGAGUGAUGAAUACAGUGGCAUUGAAGUCAAAGGGCAAUUUUUAAUUUCUAAAGAGGAAAGACAAGGAAAUGCCAUAGUUGAUGUUCCCAUAACUGUUGUGUCGUCCUCGUUGGAAUCAUCAUCGAUUGGCUUUGUCGUCCUCCACCAACUCUUCAUAUUUGGGCAAUCCCGUAGGCAAAGAUGCUUAAGUGAUGGGAAGAAUGAUUGUGGUUCUCCUUGACUUCCUUUUGGGCUAUUAUCAUCCAUGUACUCCAGCUUAGUACAAUCAUAUAUCUCCAGCCCUUUAAGACAAGGAAAUUGCGCAAAGGACGGGAUUUGUUUGAAAUUACUACCACUUAUGUCAAUUGUGACGAGAUUUGUGAGCAAAGGAAGCCAACUUGGAAACUUGCCAUCACCCCUCCAUCCUGCAAUACAGAGCUCCUUGAGAUUAGGAUGGGGCUGGAGGUCUUCAAGUGACUUCUCAUCGUCAUCAUCAAAACGAAGGCUCCAUUCUAAAAGCAACGAUCUCAAAUGUUGCUUCUCUUUCAAAUUAGCAGCCUUAAACUUCUCUUUUGCAUUUUUUACGAAUCCCAAAUUUGUUAUUUGUAGACGUCCCCUUAAGUUGUUACGCAGUCUCAAUUCACUUAGACCUGCACCGCCAUGGGACCCAUCUUUAUCCACUACAAACAUGCUUAACGUCUCAAGUGAAGUCAGCUUCCCUAUUCCACGUGGCAUAUGAGUUAAACUAAAACACUACGACACCCAAUAUGGGUAAGAUUCACCAAUUCUUCAAUCUUCUUUGGCAAUUCUUUAAGCCCAAAACAGCAGUCAAGUUUCAGCGCUAGCAAAUUCUGAAUCUUGCAAAUACUCUUUGGGAGAAUCUUAAUAUUGUAAUUGGAAGAAAGGUCAAGGUACCUCAAAUGUUUCAACUUACAAAUGGAGGGUGAAAUCUUUUGAAUACCUAUAGAAUAUAAUUUCAAUACACGCAAGCAUCUACAAUUUGCAAUUAUCAAAUCCCAACUUUCUUCACUAAAAUCUUGAUCUAUGCUGUUUGGAAAGUGUAACAAGGUUCGCAACUUCUUUCCCUUAAACAAAGGAAUUAAUGAAGGAAUUAAUAAAGGAUUAAUUGAUAUGUGGCGACAUUUUUCACCAGCAUCACUUGCAAUUUUAUUUGAAUCUACAAUACUACUCUCCAUCCCUGCUACUGAUUCAGCUAGAUCUUGCAUUAAAUCAUGCAUUUUACAUCUCAUAUCCCCAAAUCCAUAUUCUUCUACCUCUUGAAAGAAACUCCUUUCAACUAAAUCUUUAAAAUACCCAAACCCGAUCUCCUCCAGAGAUUGACUUUGAUUCAAUUGCUUUAUGAAACCCUGUGCAAUCCAAAAUUGAACAAGCGCUUGCACUUGAAUUGUGUAAUCUGUUGGAUACAAUCGGCAAUAAGCAAAGCAAUGCUUCAAAUGAGACGGGAGAUGAUCAUAACUCAAUUUCAGUAUAGGUAGAAUUUCUCCUUCAAUUUGUGAAAUUUUAGCAAGUUCAUUUUCUUUGAAAGAAUGCCACUCAUUUGCAGUUUUCUUCUAAGAUAAUGUACCAGCUAUCGUCCUUAUGGCUAAGGGAACCCCACCACACCUUUCCGAAAUCUGUCUCCCUACUUCCACAAAGGCUGAAUUUGUUGAGUCUGCAUAUCCUUGCUCAAAUGCUAUCUUUUUGAACAAAGACCAAGCAUCAUCACCAGACAAGCCUUUCAAUUUCAAAACAUGGGAUUGACAUUUAUUAGUUAUCUCCGCCACCCUUAGAGAUCGAGUAGUUACUAUUAUCCUACUCCCUUUAGCCCCGCCCAUCAAUAACUUCUUUAGCCUAGACCACCUUUCUGGGUCCUCAUUCCAAAUGUCAUCCAAAACAAGCAAAUAUUUUUUCCCAUCAAUUUUAUCUCGAAGUUGUUUUUGCAAUUGAUCCAUUUCAAGAUUUUGAUCAGGUGCUUGAUUAGUCACAGAUUUGUUAAUGUUUGCUACAAUAACUUUCACAUCAAAAUCAUCUGAAACACACGCAAACAUCGUUAAGUCAAUUGAAGCUAAUCUCGCCUUAAUGGCCUUCAUUUUCCGACCCAUUUUGAGACCAUAAGCAAAUUGGUUUGAGCUCGAGAAGAAAAGGCGUACCUCUUCCGUCAGCUUGUUCCCACCCAUUAGAUCUUUCCGCAAAGCUUCGGUAGAGAAAUCAUCGAGCAAGUCGUCAGCAUCGUAAAGUACAUCUUUCAGCUUUUCAAGCCAAUCUUUGACGAGAUGGCUGGUCACGGAUCGCUCUUCUGCGUCAAGAAGCGCAGCUUUGAUUGUAGAGACGGUGCUUUUGAGGUCGUCGAGGUCAUGUUUUAGAUUCCACCACAGCCCAACUUGAGAGAGAGCACGAGAGCUCAACUUAAUAAUGAGCUCUGCGGCAAUGUCGAAAGCAAUUGCUUCGGCCAUUGUUGGUUCGAACUGAAAUCAAGGCAAAAAGUGUUUGAUUCGUGAGAGAGGAGGACUAAAAUGAGAAUGAUCCCAGCAAGAUGAAACACAGAUGUGGAUCCAUCCACCCAGCAAGUAGUAUAAUUAAAUAAAAAGUAAUGUUGAUUGGUGGGAAAUGGUCCGUCCAUGUUUACUGUUUGACACAAAUUUCUGAAUGGAGACAAAGUUGAGAUGAUGACACUAGGGGUGCUCUGCACAACGUACAAAUAAUUGAAAUUAAUGAAAAAGGUAUGAAAGAAAAGAGAAAAAGGAGACAAAUCCCAUGGAAUCCAAGGUGUUUUGAUUGAAGUCUUUCUAAACCUUCUUCCCACUUACUUUGUGUAAUUGAGUGAGUCUCAAUACUCGGUUAAAUUCAAUAUUUUAUUUUUGAGUUUAACUUUGGUUGAAUAUAUAAAAUAAAAAUUCAAUAAAACUCAUUCGCCAUUAGAAUCAAAUAUUAUUAAAUUCGAAUCCGAUUAAAUCAAUAAUUUAAACAUAACUUAAUGACUACUAAAUCAAAUUUAAAUCUUUUUUGAAUCGAAUUUAAUUAACUUACAAAUGAUUAUCAUGUCCACCUUUCUCACCCACCUACUUAGCUUUGAUUUUGUCUUUUAAAGUAACUUGGUGUCUAUAAUUAUAUAUUACGACAAUAGUUACUGUUAUAAUUGUUUGUCUAUGCAAUAUAUCAAAGUAAAAUAUAAGAGUUUAACAUUUGUUAACCCUGUUAUAAAAAUUUAAUUUAACUCUUUAAAAAUUAUAAAGAUAUAUUACUAUAAAAAUAUAUAAUUUAAUUCCGACUAAAAUUUUUUUUUAGCUUGGCUACUAUUGAAAAAUUAAUUUAGUUUUUGAACACAACAUGUGGAAAGAUAUUGGGUUUAUGUCAGCUCCAUGGGAAUGUAUUUAAUUGGUAUUGAAGGAAAAAUCAUUACUUAUACCAUCAUGAAGAUUGCUUCCACUGCUCAUAUCUAUUUUAUUAUUUUAUUACACAUAUAAUUGUUUUAUUGUGAGUUGGAUGAUUUUGGUUUUUUUUUAAGAUAUUUUAUUUUUAAAUAUAUUUUUAAAUAUUUAUUUUACACAUACAUGUAUUUUAACUUAAUACAUUUAAUAGUAUUUUUUUUAUAAUAAAAAAACCCAAAGGUCGCUACCUCAUUUUAAGUUGCAUCAUAAAUUACAAUGUUAUGAUUAUCGAUCGCUAAGAUAAUUCAUCUCAAAAGACAAAUUACUACACUUAGAAAGAGCCCAAUUACAAAGAGAAUCAGCUAAUUUGUUAUAACCACGUUUCACCCAUUUAACCUCGAAAGAAACAAAAGAAUCAAGCAUCUUGUGAGCUCCUUAAUGCAGUGAUCAAGGAUCGUUAUGUCCUCCUUGUGAAAACUAAAGCGGUUGACAAUGUUAGCACAAUCUGUUUCAAAAAUGACAUUAUGUUUAAAGUGUUUAUUAAUUAUUUUGCAAAAUGAAAGUAUAAUAACUUUUUUGGCAUUCCAACUUUAUAAAAGAAUUAUUUUAGCUCUCUAUUUACUUUCAUUUUCUUUUAGUCUUUGAACUUAUAUUUUUUUUUGUCAAACCAUCCAAAAUGGGUGAAAAAGUUAACAUUUGUUAACUUUGUUGACAUGACAUAUAGGUAGAUUACCACGUGUAUGUCACGUUAACAAUUAAUUAUUUUAAAAAAAUAUUUAAAAAUAUUUUUUUGAAUUUUUUUAAAAAAUAAUUAAUUGCUUAUGUGGCAUAUACGUGGCAAUCCGCGUGUAUGUUACAUUAGCAAAAUCAACAUACGUUAAUUUUUCACUCAUUUUGAGGUGAUUUGACAAAAAUUACAAGUUUAAGAACUAAAAGAAACGAAAAGUUAAAUGGAGAGUUGAAAUAACUUUUUCUAUAAAGUUAGAGACCAAAAGAAUCAUUAUUGCAAAAAAAAUAGUUGUUUUUCUUCUCCUUUUUUUUUUGUAUUUUUUAGUGCUAAAAUUCAAGAUGGUGCGGAAUAGUUUUUAAUCUUAUUAUUGUUAUAUAUGUUUUCGACCUCAUUGGAGCUAAUCUCACUGUCUAUAUAAAGAGAGCCUAAAUAUUAUUUGUUCAGCUUCUUUUAAACAAGUUAGUGCUCCUUUGUAUGAUCAUUUACCUCCCAUGAGUAAGGUUGAGUAAAUAAAAUAAAAAAAUAUUUGAAAAUUGAUCCAAAUCAAGGUGUUUAGACGGUUUAUGGAAUACAAAUUAAAAAAUCACAAUUAUUCGAAACCGAACCAAAUUAUAUUCUUUAUUUUAAUUUAUAAAUAAAUUUAUUUUUAUAAUAUAAAAAUAAAUAUUUUAUAUUUAAAAAUAGUGAAAAUAAAUAAAUAUAUUUUAAAAAUAUUAUAUAAAAGUAUUUAAUUAUUUUUAUCUACUUAAAAUAAUUUUAAAAAAUAUCUAUGAAAAAAACUUUGAAAAUUUGUCAAAUGAUAUUUAAAAGCCGUAAAAUAAAGUUUAUUUUAUUAAAAUAAUUAUAAAAAUUUAUAAUAACAAAAUCGAACUAAACUAAAUUAUAAUGGACGGAUAAAAAAAUAGAAUCGAAUUAAACUAAUAUCACUUGAUUUUAUUGCACCAAACUGGACAUAAAGGAUCUUCUUAAAAAAUUUAACCUGNNNNNNNNNNNNNNNNNNNNNNNNNNNNNNNNNNNNNNNNNNNNNNNNNNNNNNNNNNNNNNNNNNNNNNNNNNNNNNNNNNNNNNNNNNNNNNNNNNNNAGUACAUAUCAUAUGAUAAUUAUAAAUUUAAUUAUUUAAUUCUUAUAAAAUUAAAUAUAUUACAAAUUAAUAUUUAUAUAAUAUAUAUUAAAUACAUGUAAAUUUAUAAUCAUAAAUAUAUUUUUAAUUAUUAUUUGAUAUAAAUAAUUUUAUUAUAUUUUAUUAUUUUCAUUUAUAUAAAAUAUAGUCCUUAAAUGUUGAAGUCUAAACCCAACCCUUAAACAAAGGAAUUAAAUUUAAAGUUGAGAAAGAUAUGGAUGGUAGUAAUGGGAGCAUAAGCAUGUAGAAGCAAUGGUGGCAUUUCAUCUUAUUAGCAGCUUUGGAAUAGAUUCUUAAGGAUGAGUAGGAAUCUGUAUGCUUUUUUUUUAAUUUUUAUAUUUAAAACAUUAGUUAAUUGCUAAUGUGGCAUCCAUGUGUAUGUCAUGUAAGUUUAAGGACUAAAUUGAUUUUUUCAUAAAGUUAGAAGGUUAAAUAAACCAUUAUGCCAAAAUAUAAUAGAGAAUUUAAAAAAAAUGAAAAUAUUUAUAUUUUAUUUUAUAUUUGUUUAAGUUCGGCCUGGUCCAAAAUAUAAACUUAAAGUCUGUUCAAAUUUGUAAACAGUUAACUCAAACUCAUUUUAAAUCCACUCAUACUAUUUUAAAAAAAAUUUAAAUGAACUUAUAUUAUUUUUAACUUAAUAUUUAAUAAUUUUACAUUUUUAUUAAAAUUUUAUAUAUAGUCAUCUUAAGAUUAUAAUAGUAUUAUAAUUUUUAUUUUUAUUUGUUACAAAUUACAUAACAUAUAAAAUUAACAUAAUAUAAAAUAUUGCAAACUUAAAAAUUGGGUCGGACCCAACUUAGGCUUUGAAUAUUCAAAUUCAAGCUCGACUCAUAUUUUAAAUGGGCCUAUUUUUUAAAUUUAAUAGUUUUAUCCAAAUCUUCCAAAAUUUCAAAUGAGCCUUUGAGCUUGACAAAGAACAGUAAGUCUCUUUCCCUAUUAUUUUGGCUAAACAAUACUGUAAGAUCAGCUGAUGAAGAAUGCAUACAGAUCGACUCUUCAACAAAGAAAAAGAAAGAACAAAUGUGCAUAGAGAGGAGGAUUUCAUGGGAGCACAAUUCCAUGGACAGAUCAGCUGAUGAAGAAUGCAUGUCCUGCUUUUUGGCUCUUCCAUUGAACUCAUGCUGAAAAAGAAGUUGCUUAGUUACGAGGUUACAUUAGAUCAUCUGAAAUUAUGAGAUUAUUAUGAUUUUAAAAAUGUAAAGCAAUUUAGUAAUUACCACCUAUUUGCCUGCAUCUAAAUUCUUAAAGUUGUCAAAUGCCUUUCAGAAAAAUACAUGCCAAUCGAAUAUGUGGGCAGAUAAACAAAUGAGGGUAGAAAGUACGAUCUCUGCUUUUUGUAUUGCAUGCUAUGCUCUGCCGAAGAAUAGAGCCAAAAGCUAACAAAAAUGAAGGGUAAAAAGAUUAAUGGAAACCUUGUAGUUUUCAAAGGUGAAUAAAUAAGGACAAUUAAGAUCGGUGUUAACAGUUUUUACUAAUAUUUUGAAAACAUUUGAAAACAUUUUAAAUAAGUUAAUAUAUAUAAUAUAAAAAAUCUAUAAAAAUUUUCAAAAUUCAAUUAUUGUAAUAUAAAACUUUCAUAUCUAAAAACCCUAAAUUAAAUUAAACUAUUUCAAUUGAAUCCAACAAACAAAUUAGACCGAAAACCAAUUAAUAUGAUUGGUUCGGCCACCUAUCUAGUUUUAAAAACCUUAACCAGCACAACAUCAGUAUGUGAAUUUAAUUUCGUAUUUAUUUAAUUUGGUUAGCACAUAUUAAUAGUUUUCAUAUUCUCUUUAGUUUUUGUAUAUUGGGAUUGUGUAAAAUUUAAAAUUUUAGAUAUUUUUAUGUUCAUAUUUUGUUUCAUAAAUAUAUAGGGGUAAGCUCUCACUAAUUUUCUCAAGCUUUUAGGAGUUCCUUCUAUUGAAGCAAUAUCAUGAGCGAAUCUAUAAUCAAUAUAUAUGAGAAAGAAAAAAUAUAUAAAAAAGUAAAAUAAAAAAUGAAAAUAGAUUUGGACACUUAUGGAUGUUAUCAAACUAUUGUCUAACUCGUGUUAUGAAAAAAAAAUCACAAUUAAAAGAAUAUUGUAUGCUUCAAUGAAAGUCACAAUUUAUCUUUGAUCAUGCUUGUUUGCAACUAAGUAGCAAUAAUGUAACUACAUGUUCCUACAAACCUCGCACUAGUCGACUUUGCCCUAUGAUCCAUUAGUCGAAUUUGUGAUGUCUAUAUUUUAAUAUGCGAGGUAUUUAAAGAAAUAGAUACAUGAAUUUAUUUUUGUAGUGGAUAAAUAUAAUUAUUUAUUUACACAAUAUAUAAACAUAAAAUGAUGUCAUAUUAAUAAUUUAUGAAAAUUAGAUCAAAUUAAAAUUUCAUGUAUAAAAUUAUAUGUUAUGCCAAAGUUUAUAUGUAGUUUUGAGAUUUAUCCCAUUUUCCUAUUAACUUAGCAAGUAGGUUGAGCAUUAAAUGUUCGCUCAAAUAUGAUAGGGGACAUACUUAAAACACAUGUGUACAUGCUAUAUAGGCAACUUGAAUCUAAUUUGUUAAAAGAAGAAGAAGAAGUAAUCCUCUUAAAUUUUAUAAUCUCAGCGUGUUUUUAAUAUGUUAGAAUCAAGUUAUCAAUAUGAUGAGUACACAAGUAUUUACAAUUUAAUCCAUGUCAAAUGAGAACAGAAAUUUAAAAUCUAAAUUGAUAGCUACAAAAAUGAAAUGAUUUUAUUGAUAUAAUAUUAAUACUUUCAAAACUUAAUUAAAAUAUUUUAUAAUUUAUAAAUUAAUUUUAAAAAAAUUAAUUAAUAAAUUGAGAAUAUUUAAUACAAAUAACUUCUUAUAUGAAUAUAAAUAAUUAUAACACAUUUAUUAUUAAAUGAAAAUAAUGUUGUUUGGUUGGAAAUGGUCCCACCGUAUUUUACGUUUGGGGAACAAAGCGACGGUGUUUUGGUUGGAGAAGAAGGAAGUAACGUCGUUAAGUACAUCGUUUUGUUUAUCUUUAUUUUAAAUUUGUUUUCUCGUUUUCUAUUUUACGCCGCUAAUAUUCUUUUUUGAGUAAACUAUAUUAAAAGUCAUUCAACUAGUUAAAAAGUUACAAAAUGAUCACCAAAUUAUUAGUAAUUUCUUUUACCUAAUUAUGAAAAGUUAUAAAAUAAUAAAUUUUUAUUAUUAUUUAGCGCAUACGAGUAUUUGUUAUUUUUUUUCUUUGAAUUUUUCAUUUAUUCAUUGAAUGAAUUAAUAAAUUUCUCUUUAAAAAAUUUACUCGGGGCAGAACAUAACAAGAGUCAAAGCUUCAGCUUGUAAUAUUGGCUUGUGCCAUGAUAGGCCUUUAUAAGGUGUUGUUCAACUUAUAAUUUGAUGUGUGCCAACAUAAGCAUCAACACACAAGUCAUGUAUAUACAGCCAGGACAUCGACAUCUUUUGGAAGAGUCCUAGUCCAAGCAUCAUAAUUGAACAUAGCCUUGGAAUACAUACCGUCUAAAACAAUUAUUGUCUCAUAAUCAAUUGUGCAUCCCUGCAUUUGAAUACUAUUUGGAACAUUAAAAAUGUGUGUUUUCUUGAGUUGGUAUAUAUUAUGCAACAAGAAAAAUAAAGAACACAAUUAAGAUGUUUACGCAGUUCGAAACUCGUCCUACGUCUGCGGGGCUUUGCCCAAAGAUGAAUCCACUAUGAACUUCAUAGUACAAAGAAAUUAUUUAAGCUUAACCCCUCAAACACUUAAUUAUACGUCUGAAGCAUCUUCCUUUUUUUCUUGUUUGGACCUUCAAUAACAAAUUUGGCUGGAAUUCUAAACAGCUAAAAGAGUGCCCUGCAUCAAUGAAUAUUAUGAAUUUGAAUACCUCCAAAAGCCUGUCAAUAUCACAGGUACCAUCCAAGAUAAUACUCAGUUGGCAUAUAUUAAGAGAAAACAUAAAUAUAUAUAUAAAUACAUAUAAUACAACCACAUCAAUGAUUUUUUAGAAUUAAAUUAUUAGAAGCAAUUGUCAAGUUAUUAUUAUGAUUUAAAAGUAAAAAGCAAAUAGAUAAAUUACCACCUCUUUUUAUGCAUGUAAAAUGAUUGAUGUUGACUAAUGCGUUUCUCCAAUGCCUUAAUGCACAAAUCACCAAAAAUAUUAUGAAAGAUGAUAAGUAAAAAGUAGGAUUAAAACAAAGGGAUUUUAACAAGGAAAUUAACAGUAUCCAACUUCAAUGAAAAAUGGCAUCAGACCCCUCACUUGGAGAUUCAAUAUACCACUCUUAUUUUUCUUCAAAAAAAGAUAAGGUCAUCAUAUUAAAUAAAUAACAAAGACAGACCAACCUGAUUCAACCAAAUGUUGGGGAUGUGAGCAAUCUUUUGCCAAUCAGCGCCAAUGUCCUUCCGACAUCUUUCCUCCAACUGAGGAAUUUCUUGUAUGUGUAAAUACUUCAAACUGGUUAGGCAAUGCAUCUGGUCCGGAAGAGAUGUUAAAUUGGGCAAAUUAACGAGAAAAAGCCGUUGCAGAUUUGUUAGAUGUUGAAGCCACUCCGGAAGAUACCGACACUUUGGAAUAUUUUGCAGCUGUAGAAAGCGUAGGCUUGUAUGAUCUUGGAAUAUUUGGAUGCCAGCCCCAGAUAACUCCAGCUCCUUGCAGUCCAUUACUAAAAAGUCUUCAAGGGAAGUGAGAUGUUGGAACACAGGAAGCAGUGACCUCAAUCCAUUGCAGUUAUGAAUUUUUAAUGUUUUCAAUUGAACAAGAUGUUGAAGCCCAAUGGGGAGAGACACCAGCUUUGGAAUAUUAUCAAUCUCCAAAUGAGAGAGAUUCUUAAGGGGUUCCCAUUGCAUGCCCUCUAAAUCAACCUCCUUGCAAUCUCUUAUUGUUAAUCUUUUGAGGCUGGUGAGAUGUUGCAGGCACUCAUCUAGCGUGUGAGUGUCCAACCCCUCAAUGUUGUAUACAUGGAAAGAUUUCAAUUUGGAGAGUGGAAGAGAAGAGGUUGAAGUUGAUGGGGCCUUAGCAUUGAUGUUCAUUUUGAUAGUCUGCUUUAACGGCCUUGAACUGGUAUAGAACAACAUUAGACCUUCAUCGAGUGAUGGAUACAGUGGCAUUAAAAUUAAAGGGCAAUUUUGAAUGUCUAAAGAGGAAAGACUAGGAAAUGCCAUGGUUGAUGUUCCCAUAACUGUUGUGUCGUCCUCGUUGGAAUCAUCAUCGAUUGGUUUUGUCGUCCUCCACCAACUCUUCAUAUUCGGACAGUUCCAGAGCGAAAGAUGCUUCAGUGAUGGGAAGAAUGAUUGUGGUUCUCCUUGACUUCCUUUUGGGCUAUUAUCAUCCAUGUACUCCAGCUUAGUACAAUCAUCUAUGGUCAGCCCUUUAAGACAAGGAAAUUGCGCAAAGGACGGGAUUUGUUUGAAAUUACCACCACUUAUGAAAAUUUUGACGAGAUUUGUGAGCAAAGGAAGCCAACUUGGAAACUUGGCAUCACCCCUCCAUCUUUCAAUACAGAGCUCCUUGAGAUUAGGAUGGGGCUGGAGGUCUUCAAGUGACUUCUCAUCAUCAUCAUCAUCAUCUUCAUCAUCAGAAUCAAAUUUCCAUUGUAAACCCAACCAUCUCAAAUGUUGCUUCUCUUUCAAAUUAGCAGCCUUAAACUUCUCUUUUGCAUUUUUUACGAAUCCCAAAUUUGUUAUUCCUAACCCUCCCCUUAAGUUGUUAAGCAGUCUCAAUUCACUUAGAUCUGCACCGCCAUGGGACCCAUCUUUAUCCACUACAAACAUGCUUAACGUCUCAAGUGAAGUCAGCUUCCCUAUUCCACGUGGCAUAUGAGUUAAACCCCUACAACCUUCACACCCAAGAUGGGUAAGAUUCACCAAUUUUUCAAUCUUCUUUGGCAAUUCUUUAAGCCUAUGACAGCUGUCAAGUUUCAGCGCUAGCAAAUUCUGAAUCUUGCAAAUACUCUCUGGGAGAAUCUUAAUAUUGAAAUUCCAAGAAAGAUCAAGGUACCUCAAAUGUUUCAACUUACAAAUGGAGGGUGAAAUCUUUUGAAUACCUAUAGAAUUCAAUUUCAAUACACGCAANNNNNNNNNNNNNNNNNNNNNNNNNNNNNNNNNNNNNNNNNNNNNNNNNNNNNNNNNNNNNNNNNNNNNNNNNNNNNNNNNNNNNNNNNNNNNNNNNNNNUCAAAUCCCAAGUUUCAUAGCUGAAAUCUUGACUUAUUUUGUCUUGAAAAUGUAACAAGGUUCGCAACUUCUUUCCCUUAAACAAAGGAAUUAAUGAAGGUUUAAUUGAUAUGUGUCGCCAUUUUUCACCAACAUCACUUGCAAUUUUAUUUGAAUCUACAAUACUACUCUCCAUCCCUGCUACUGAUUCAGCUAGAUCAUGCAUUAAAUCAUGCAUUUUACAUGUUAGCCCUUCCCUUGAAUAUCUUUCUCCUACUUCUUGGAAGAAACUUAUUUCAACUAAAUCUUUAAAAUACCCAAACCCGAUCUCCUCCAGAGAUUGACUUUGAUUCAAUUGCUUUAUGAAACCCUGUGCAAUCCAAAAUUNNNNNNNNNNNNNNNNNNNNNNNNNNNNNNNNNNNNNNNNNNNNNNNNNNNNNNNNNNNNNNNNNNNNNNNNNNNNNNNNNNNNNNNNNNNNNNNNNNNNNNNNNNNNNNNNNNNNNNNNNNNNNNNNNNNNNNNNNNNNNNNNNNNNNNNNNNNNNNNNNNNNNNNNNNNNNNNNNNNNNNNNNNNNNNNNNNNNNNNNNNNNNNNNNNNNNNNNNNNNNNNNNNNNNNNNNNNNNNNNNNNNNNNNNNNNNNNNNNNNNNNNNNNNNNNNNNNNNNNNNNNNNNNNNNNNNNNNNNNNNNNNNNNNNNNNNNNNNNNNNNNNNNNNNNNNNNNNNNNNNNNNNNNNNNNNNNNNNNNNNNNNNNNNNNNNNNNNNNNNNNNNNNNNNNNNNNNNNNNNNNNNNNNNNNNNNNNNNNNNNNNNNNNNNNNNNNNNNNNNNNNNNNNNNNNNNNNNNNNNNNNNNNNNNNNNNNNNNNNUGGGUCCUGAUUCCAAAUGUCAUCCAAAACAAGCAAAUAUUUUUUCCCAUCAAUUUUAUCUCGAAGUUGUUUUUGCAAUUGAUCCAUUUCAAGAUUUUGAUCAGGUGCUUGAUGAGUCACAGAUUUGAUAAUGUUUGCUACAAUAACUUUCACAUCAAAAUCAUCUGAAACACACGCAAACAUCGUUAAGUCGAAAUGAUUUUUGACCAUUUCAUGGUUAUAGACAAAUUGGGCCAAAGCAGUCUUCCCU
RNAcentral lists this long non-coding RNA (35435 nucleotides) under Gossypium raimondii (Peruvian cotton). RNAcentral describes it as "long non-coding RNA (GRAI_LNC006010)". Lineage: Eukaryota; Viridiplantae; Streptophyta; Magnoliopsida; Malvales; Malvaceae. The record is from RNAcentral.